CCUACGGGGGGCAGCAGUAGGGAAUCUUUCACAAUGGGCGAAAGCCUGAUGGAGCAACGCCGCGUGCAGGAUGAAGGCCUUCGGGUUGUAAACUGCUUUUAUAAGCGAGAAAUAUGAUGGUAACAUAUGAUUAAGGAGCGGCUAACUACGAGCCAGCAGCCGCGGUCAUACGUAGGAUCCGAGCAUUAUUCGGAGUGACUGGGUGUAAAGAGUUGCGUAGGUAGCAUAAUAAGUAGCUAGUGAAAUCUGGUGGCUCAACCAUUCAGACUAUUAGCUAAACUGUUAAGCGCGAGACCGUUAGAGGUAACUGGAAUUUCUAGUGUAGGAGUGAAAUCCGUAGAUAGUAGAAGGAACACCAAUAGCGUAGGCAGGUUACUGGGACGGUUCUGACACUAAGGCACGAAAGCGUAGGGAGCAAACGGGAUUAGAUACCCCAGUAGUC
RNAcentral lists this ribosomal RNA (442 nucleotides) under uncultured bacterium. Its description in RNAcentral is "partial 16S ribosomal RNA". It matches the Rfam family "Bacterial small subunit ribosomal RNA", at positions 338 to 795 of the family's 1533-position model. The record is from RNAcentral.